Cyprinus carpio (common carp) is the source of this 472-nucleotide long non-coding RNA. RefSeq lists it as uncharacterized. The record is from RefSeq and is a predicted model, not a curated record. NCBI's taxonomy places the organism in Eukaryota, Metazoa, Chordata, Actinopteri, Cypriniformes, Cyprinidae. The transcript has 3 exons.
ACCCUAUAGUGAACAUAUCUUUUAGUUUGAAAUGACAGUGGACGUUUAGCCGGCGAACGUUGCAAAAACACCGUUACAGAGUUAACUCGUCUAAUGUUAGCGUUACCCGAUGUUUCCCUGCUUGUCCCGUCAAUUUAAUCUAACUCGGUGAAUUACACCUGAUUUAUUUCGACCAAACCAGACCUAGUGAUUGUUGAAACGAUGAAAAGACAAAUCAAGAUGGUUAAUGUCAGGGCAACCCAGGCAGACAUUGAGGCACAGCAGGUGAUACCAGACACACCCAGGCUCAUUAUUCUUGGACAUUCAAUUAUGACAGCAUCCAGGUGAAUGCUAUCCAUUGAGGGAAACGUUCUCUUGACACUGGACAGCAGUGACAAAUUUAUAACCACCUUUGCAGUGCUGUUUGCAAGCUACUACAUUUCAACAUCGAGUACCAGGAGUCUGCUGCUUGUACUUUAGAGCUUGUUCAGAG